UAUCUAUGGUGGGGACACAGAUUUAACAGAUCUUUAAAAUGCUCUCAAGCUUGAUAGGUAGUUCCAUUUUCCUUCUGAGUGAAAUUCGAGAUCUGUCGUUUCAAAUU
Molecule: non-coding RNA, 107 nt
Organism: Morus notabilis
Lineage: Eukaryota; Viridiplantae; Streptophyta; Magnoliopsida; Rosales; Moraceae
Source: Rfam